Leptonychotes weddellii (Weddell seal) is the source of this 2077-nucleotide non-coding RNA. The record is from RefSeq and is a predicted model, not a curated record. Lineage: Eukaryota; Metazoa; Chordata; Mammalia; Carnivora; Phocidae.
AGAAAAGGCACAGGCCUGCCCUCGUCCUUCCUGGAGACUGAGCCUGGGCAGGCGGGAAGUGGGAAGCACGCACAGAAGGGAGCAGCUGAGGUGGGCGCUACUGCACUUCUGAAAUUAGACUGAUUGUCACCAGGGAGCCUCUGGAGCCACCUGGAGCUGUGCUGUCCUCUGUGGACAGGUGACUGCCACCUCCGUGCAGCCAGAGCGAUGUGGGUGUCAGGGCCGGGCCUAUACCCUUGGGCAGGAGGUCCUGGACCUUUAAGGCCACAAGUGUCAGGCGGCCAGGGUCUGCGGGGGAGCUGGCCGAGCGUUUCCACUGAGAGCAAGUGCAGCCGUCCCAACCUUCCCAAGUCCCCUGGGGAGUGCCCCGGCGUCAGAGGCACGAGGCUCUGCUGAACAUGCGCACGCGAGCAGCAGGUAAGCACGAGGGCACCUACAUGCGGCCUCAGGGCCCCAGGUGUGCACCGGCCCAGAGCCAAAGCCAGCAGAGGGGAGAGCUCCUGCCCCCACCUGCCCCCAAGAAGGACAGGUGCGGGAGGGUGCUGCUGCCAGCCCUCGCUGAAGCCGGUCCCUGGGGAGCUCCAGGACGGGCCCCAAGCCCAGCUUUGCUGCCUUUCAGGGAAGCACUGCUCCCUGGGUGUCUGGGUGAGGCCUGGGUGGGGUGUGCUCCUAUCCAGAGAGAACCCUGGAAGAGGCAGGUGGCCUUAGGAGAAAUUGAGGGAGGUAUAAACAUUUAUUUCGACAACAUGGCAAGGAGAAAAUACCUGGAUAUUCAAACAUGUUAUUCCAAACGUGGAGAGGGUGCGAUAUAAACGAAGGCAAGUUACUAGAGAACAUGAUGAACUCAGAGUCCUUCCAGGAGCCCUUUCGUUCUGUGACUGCGUCUAACACAGUGCAAACGUUCCUGAUGGUUUCCUGACGGAGGCCUGGACGUCGGAGCCCUGAAGCCCCAGCCCGGGGCAGUGGCAGGCUGUUCUCCGUCACUCUCCCAUUCUCUGCCUCCCUCCCCUCAGUGCCGGGGCUUCAGACCACCUCCCCACAGGAGCCCCAAGGGGAAAGGGGCCACCUCUGCAAAAACCCCCCAAACACCAGAGCUUGCUGGCACCUUCACAUUUCUUUUCUUUCUGUUGCAAAGCAGAGCUGACCGCUGUCCAGGACUUGGCCCGCCGUGAGCUGUGGGUCCCUGGCUCCCCACGCCACCCUGUAGCUCCAGGUGGACCAGUGUGGAAAGCACGGAAUGCCAGCAAUUAUGUGAGAGAUGCACAGCACCGCAAGAAAACAUGCACCAUCCUCACCUGCCCCCCUCGGUGAUCAAGCAGAUAAAUCGGUCAGUCGCAGGAAACGUUGCUCCCUGGCUGCUGUAGCUGACCCCGGUGCCCAGCACCGUCCGCCUCCCUCCCAGGGUCGUGGGCUCGUCUGUGACAGCAGAUGCUGAUGGCCCCGCGUGCCCAGCAGACCCGCUCCUGACCCCUGAAGAGUCCUGCGGCCCCGCUGACGAGGGCGUGGGCCCGUCUCCUCACCGCUGAUUGGGCGUCGCUGGCGCACGUGUGCCCGCAGAACGUGCUGACGUGCGAGGGGCCUGAGCGCACCAGCUGUUGUCGGCUCUCCCAGCUAUUCUAAUGGAGAGAAUGCUCCACCCACGUACGACCCCGCUGUAGAACACGGAUGUGCUGGCGUGUGCGUGCCUGUGACUUGACAGGACCCUGUGUGCUGAGCACUGGCUGCGCUGGGCUAGGGGGCAAAGCUCAUGCUGUUGGAGGACGGAACAGGGGGCUGCCUGAGGGCACGUGAAUGGCCCUGGAGCUGGACUGAGGCGGCCCGGGGAGCCCUCCCACUCCUCCAGGCCCCGCUGCCCUGUUGGGGACUGGACAGGACACUCUGGAUCCUUCUCCAGACUGCUGAGGCCAACGGAAGGGGAAGGAAGGAGGUGAGGUGAGUAUUUGGGGGCUCCAGUCAACUGGCUAAGCUGGGUUCUGAUCUCAGCGCUGUCUGUCCCCCUGCCGUCUCUCCCAAGGAUGCGGCCAAUGCCAGUGUUGUCUCUUGAAUUAAGCUUCUGAAUAAACUAAGUAAUACUUAA